This 26-nucleotide transfer RNA is filed under the name Mus musculus domesticus (western European house mouse). Its description in RNAcentral is "partial transfer RNA-Pro". Lineage: Eukaryota; Metazoa; Chordata; Mammalia; Rodentia; Muridae. The record is from RNAcentral.
CAAGAAGUAGUUUAAUUAGAAUGCCA